RNAcentral lists this transfer RNA (75 nucleotides) under hydrothermal vent metagenome. RNAcentral describes it as "tRNA-Arg-TCT". It matches the Rfam family "tRNA". Rfam says of the family: Transfer RNA (tRNA) molecules are approximately 80 nucleotides in length. Their secondary structure includes four short double-helical elements and three loops (D, anti-codon, and T loops). The record is from RNAcentral.
GUCCCUGUAGCUCAAUUGGAUUAGAGCAAAAGGUUUCUACCCUUUAGGUUGCACGUUCGAAUCGUGUCAGGGACU